UGGGGAAUAUUGCACAAUGGGCGCAAGCCUGAUGCAGCCAUGCCGCGUGUGUGAAGAAGGCCUUCGGGUUGUAAAGCACUUUCAGUGAGGAGGAAGGGUGGUGUGUUAAUAGCACAUCACAUUGACGUUACUCGCAGAAGAAGCACCGGCUAACUCCGUGCCAGCAGCCGCGGUAAUACGGAGGGUGCAAGCGUUAAUCGGAAUUACUGGGCGUAAAGCGCACGCAGGCGGUUUGUUAAGUCAGAUGUGAAAUCCCCGCGCUUAACGUGGGAACUGCAUUUGAAACUGGCAAGCUAGAGUCUUGUAGAGGGGGGUAGAAUUCCAGGUGUAGCGGUGAAAUGCGUAGAGAUCUGGAGGAAUACCGGUGGCGAAGGCGGCCCCCUGGACAAAGACUGACGCUCAGGUGCGAAAGCGUGGGGAGCAAACA
This 427-nucleotide ribosomal RNA is filed under the name uncultured bacterium. Its description in RNAcentral is "partial 16S ribosomal RNA". It matches the Rfam family "Bacterial small subunit ribosomal RNA", at positions 355 to 774 of the family's 1533-position model. The record is from RNAcentral.